This 313-nucleotide unclassified non-coding RNA is filed under the name Hevea brasiliensis (rubber tree). Lineage: Eukaryota; Viridiplantae; Streptophyta; Magnoliopsida; Malpighiales; Euphorbiaceae. The record is from RNAcentral.
AAAAAAUAAUCCCCCCGAGUUUUGGCAGGGAAGAUGAUGGGUAAAGAAGACAGCAUGGAGAAUCUAUCUCUCGAGGAUGAUGAAAAGUUCACCUCCAUUUCCAAAUCCUACUCUAACUAUCGCAGUGCCAUGACUUGUCUUUCUGAUUCUCACCAUCCUCUUUCACCGUCGAUCGUCGACGAUAGCAACGACCCCUUAUUAGUAUCUUCUAUUCAAUCAUCCGCCAUUGAUGAUCAUGAUGUUGAACAAUUUCAAAACCCUACAAUAAUCUCCCCUCCUUUAAACUUGGAGUAUUUGAAUAUCACUGUUUCCG